Molecule: ribosomal RNA, 497 nt
Filed under: uncultured bacterium
Lineage: Bacteria
Description: partial 16S ribosomal RNA
Rfam family: Bacterial small subunit ribosomal RNA
Source: RNAcentral
GAUGAACGCUGGCGGCGUGCCUAAUACAUGCAAGUCGAGCGAACAGAUGAGGAGCUUGCUCCUCUGACGUUAGCGGCGGACGGGUGAGUAACACGUGGAUAACCUACCUAUAAGACUGGGAUAACUUCGGGAAACCGGAGCUAAUACCGGAUAAUAUAUUGAACCGCAUGGUUCAAUACUGAAAGACGGUUUUGCUGUCACUUAUAGAUGGAUCCGCGCCGCAUUAGCUAGUUGGUAAGGUAACGGCUUACCAAGGCAACGAUGCGUAGCCGACCUGAGAGGGUGAUCGGCCACACUGGAACUGAGACACGGUCCAGACUCCUACGGGAGGCAGCAGUAGGGAAUCUUCCGCAAUGGGCGAAAGCCUGACGGAGCAACGCCGCGUGAGUGAUGAAGGUCUUCGGAUCGUAAAACUCUGUUAUUAGGGAAGAACAAAUGUGUAAGUAACUAUGCACGUCUUGACGGUACCUAAUCAGAAAGCCACGGCUAACUACGUG